Phasianus colchicus (ring-necked pheasant) is the source of this 698-nucleotide long non-coding RNA. RefSeq lists it as uncharacterized. The record is from RefSeq and is a predicted model, not a curated record. NCBI's taxonomy places the organism in Eukaryota, Metazoa, Chordata, Aves, Galliformes, Phasianidae.
UUCAUCAGAGAUGUCGGGCUCGCGCGGAUCUCGCGGGAGCGGCGGGCGGUAUAUAAGGGCCGCGGAGGCGCCGCCCGCCCUCUUUCCCCGCCGCCCUGCGGUAAGGCGCUCCGGCCCGAGGUCCCACCAGCUGUCACGAUGCCCUCCGGGGCUCUGCCCGCCGGCCUGCCCAGCUGUCGCUCCCCGAUGGCCGUGCUGGGGCUGGAGCCGCGUGCCGAUGCCGGAGUCACUUAGUGAUUUCAUGAUUGAAGCCGGCUAGAAAUGGGUGAUCACACCUAAACUGAAAGCAGUCCUCAGGACUCCUUAGGAAUGAAUAAUACCUUCUAUUAAGAAGUUCUCAAGCAUGUUGAUACUCCUUGACUGCCUAGAAUAUGCCUCAUGAGAUAGAGAUAAACAAUAUGGAGUCAAAAGAGUUGCUUGUAAAUUGAUUGGUCUCUGAGAGUGAAAACCAGCAAGGGAUGUGCAAGGCAUCAGACCUGAUCUGCUGAGUUGAUGAUUACAGACUUCACACAAGAUCACUCAGUUGUCCUAUGUAACAUUUUGAACUGAAACAGUGACUCAGACUGUUACAUCUUCAGUGCUCAUGUUUAAACAAUCUAGCCAUUGGUUGCAACAGAAGUUUCUUAAAAGCUGUGGCAAUUUCUGUAUGGAUUGAUUGAAAUAAAGUUAAUACCAGAAGUUUGUGUUGUGAAGUUCUC